This 497-nucleotide ribosomal RNA is filed under the name uncultured bacterium. Its description in RNAcentral is "partial 16S ribosomal RNA". It matches the Rfam family "Bacterial small subunit ribosomal RNA", at positions 28 to 507 of the family's 1533-position model. The record is from RNAcentral.
GAUGAACGCUGGCUGCGUGCCUAAUACAUGCAAGUCGCGCGAACAGACGAGGAGCUUGCUCCUCUGACGUUAGCGGCGGACGUGUUAGUAACACGUGGCUAACCUACCUAUAUGACUUGGAUAACUUCGGGAAUCCGGCUCUCAUAUCUUUUUAUAUAUUGAACCGCAUAUUUCAAUAGUGCAAGACUUUUUUGCUGUCACUUAUAGAUUAAUCCGCGCCGCAUUAGGUACUUGGUAAGAUAACAGCUUACCAAGGCAACGAUGCGUAGCCGACCUGAUAGGGUGAUAGGACACACUGGACCUGAGACAAGGUCCAGACUCCUACGGGAGGCAACAGGAGGAAAUCUUCCGAAAUUGGCGAAAGCUUGAAGGAGCAACGCCGCGUGAGUGAUGAAGGUAUUCGGAGCGUAAAAAUCUGUUAUUAGGGAAGAACAAAUGUGUAAGUAACUAUGCACGUCUUGACGGUACCUAAUCAGAAAGCCACGGCUAACCAAGUG